RNAcentral lists this ribosomal RNA (162 nucleotides) under uncultured bacterium. RNAcentral's name for it is "partial 16S ribosomal RNA". It matches the Rfam family "Bacterial small subunit ribosomal RNA", at positions 367 to 528 of the family's 1533-position model. The record is from RNAcentral.
GGCAUGGAAGGAUUCUGAUCCAGCCAUGCCGCGUGCAGGAAGACUGCCCUAUGGGUUGUAAACUGCUUUUAUACAGGGAGAAAAAGACCUACGUGUAGGUUAUUGACGGUACUGUAUGAAUAAGGAUCGGCUAACUCCGUGCCAGCAGCCGCGGUAAUACGA